AUCCGUUUCUUGUUCAAAAGCAUAAUGAUUGGGUGUUCUCGCCAUUGUGUGAGGUGUACCUCCCUUAAACCUUGUUACAAUGUUGGCACAUUACUUUUCUGACA
Molecule: small nucleolar RNA, 104 nt
Organism: Talpa occidentalis (Iberian mole)
Lineage: Eukaryota; Metazoa; Chordata; Mammalia; Eulipotyphla; Talpidae
Product: small nucleolar RNA U13
Exons: 1
Source: RefSeq, a predicted model, not a curated record